RNAcentral lists this unclassified non-coding RNA (314 nucleotides) under Hevea brasiliensis (rubber tree). Lineage: Eukaryota; Viridiplantae; Streptophyta; Magnoliopsida; Malpighiales; Euphorbiaceae. The record is from RNAcentral.
CAAUCUGAAACAACAGAUACUACUAAAAAGCCUAACAUAUCCUUCCUUUCAAGAAAACCAUUCCAUUUUUGGGCGAUUUCAGCUGUGUGAGAAGGGAAAAGAAUUUAUUAUUGUUCCAUCAAAGUGGAAAAGAAAUGGAAGUUGAAAGGCAAGGCAUAAUGAUAGAACAUAAGCACAGACAAUUCAUGCAGGGCAGAUUAUCCAAUUUUUUCACCCGAUUAUACACAUUGGUUUUGUUCAAAAUUUGGCAAAGGCAAAAAUACAUUACCUAAUUCGACUGCAUCAACACAAACAUAAAUAUCAUAUCCCUCUUC